This is a long non-coding RNA of Manis pentadactyla (Chinese pangolin), 819 nucleotides long. RefSeq lists it as uncharacterized. The transcript is spliced from 3 exons. Lineage: Eukaryota; Metazoa; Chordata; Mammalia; Pholidota; Manidae. The record is from RefSeq and is a predicted model, not a curated record.
GCCAAACUUGGGAGCAAGCCCCUUCCUCUUUCCAAGGUCACCCCAGCUGCCGGUACCCCGUCCCACCGAGGACUCCCGUCCAAGUUACCGCAGCCUACACGUCCCGGGACCUGGCCGCAUCCCUGGGCUGUAGCUCUCACCAAGCCUGCGCUUCUGAAGUCUUUAAUAAACAUUUGAGGUCUGGAAGGGCAGCAGACAUCUUGAAACCACAAGACAAAAGAUACGAAGAGGAAAGCUAAGGAUGGCAGAGUGGAAGCCUGGAGAGAGCCUGGGUCACUUAGAGCUUGGAUGAGUUGCCUUCCAGAUCUGGGCUUCUACUCCUCAGUAUAGAGGAUGAAUGUGAGGGAGAUUUGGAGACACAGAUGACAUACAGGGAGGAGCUCUGUUGGAAAUGGAGGUAGAGGGUGGAGUGAGGCAGCUACAAGUCCAGGAGCUCCAUGGGUUGCUGGAAAGCACCAGAAGCUAGGAGAGAAGGAACCAAUUCUCCCUCAGAGCCUUCAGAAGGAAGAACUCUUAACAGCUUGAUUUCAGGCUCCUGGCCUCCUGAACUGUGAGAGAAUAAAUUUCUGUUGUUUGAGAUACUCACUAAUAUAAUAGGUCUGUGGAAAACAAACCCCAAAACUGCUGUUUGACUGAUAAAUCCCAGGGGGACUGUGAGACCAAUAGCUUUUCCUCAGUCUUGGCUGGAGAUGAAGGAGGAGUUCCAGUAGUUUAUCUAAUAUUUAAUCCCCUCAGUGAUGGUACAGUUCUGCUGCAGACAUGGAGGCAUGGUGGGAUGCUCCCCAGACCUCUAGCCCUCUAGCUCUUGGCCUGGUGACU